UGCAAAAGGUGAAAUGUACUCAUGUGUUAUGGAGCACUUUAAGGCCCUAGCUCUUCAUCACAAUUCUUAGUGUAACAGUACAGGAUGUAAACACUGUAGACACUGUAUGUUGAUGUUUUGUACAAGGCUUAAUGCUCAAAUAUCCAAUCUAACAAAACAAAGGCAAAGUAGUGACAGGAGGAAUACUUAAUCUCCAUCUUGGAAAUGCUAAACCCAUUCAAAUUUUCUUUCUCUCUUUUUCUCUUUUUACUUUCUGUUUUUAUUAUUUUUUCUUUUUCUUCUUUUUUUCAACACAUGGCCCAUAUUUUAUAUGACCUCUGUGCAACAGUCUCUCCCAAGUGUUUUCAUAUGCUGGAGUAGGACCUAACCAUACAUACUGCAAGAUAGUUACAUCUGUCUGGGAAAAUGAAAAAUAGGACAGAUGAAAUCAUGAAGCUCUAUGAGAAACGGAAGCAAAACAAUGUCAAGUUUUCAAUAUUUGAUAUACUUCUCAAAUCUGCAGCUCACUGGAAAUAAUGUUUACUAGGAACAAGCGCUCAUGAUGCCCAUGUCCUAAGACAAGGUGUCCCAAGGUUUCUGCACAAGCAGAAAGGAUUCCCCUCCACUCAGUUCUACUGAAAGGACAUUGAUAAACUCUCCCUUUAACAGCACAUGAAUGUAAUUCUCUUAGCUGCUGAAAGAUUGUGUUUUCACUAGAUAAUUCAUUGGUUACACAUACAAAAAUGUGACAUCAUUAACAACGCCAGCAUAAAAUGUAGCCAUAAAUCAUCAGCAUUCAGCUUUUACUCACAGAUCAUUGCUUGCAAUUUUGAAAAUGUAUGUUUAGAUAAAUAAUUUUCUUCAUCAAGAGUGACAAAUUAAACCUUAGCUUUAAAAUUGUGUACCCACACCACAGUGACUACUUGUUAGGCUCUUUCUCACAGGAUGCAAGGAUGUACUUGGAGCACGGGCUGACCAGCCAUGUAUAUUAUUUUCAGUUUCAGUAGCUGGGACUGCACCAUCCACUAUUCCAUAUAUCAAAGCUAUCUGCUCUGCUAACAGCCCCUGUCAAAUUAUACCAUGCUCAGAUAUGGUGGUAUUUACUUCCUAUCUAUUUCAAUGGGCUUAGAUAGCAAAGUACAAUGCAGGGAGUCUCUAGAGCUGAAAGCUUUGCCUUUGUAUCUGCACUGUCGCUUGCACUAGCUGGCCUUUGGGCAGCUGCUUCUCCAUCACCCACUCCAACAGGGAGGGUUGGAAGCAGCCCAGGACAAAGCCCUGAUGGGAAACACAGUCUGGGGCUGAAGAGGAACAGGGGAGCAGGUGAGAGAAAUCAGCUGACUGCAGCACUGCCUUUAAAUUGUAAGCCCUGGGCUGCUUAGGUCAGAAUAACUUUGGAGGAUUUGUUUGUUUGGUGAGUCAGGAAUUAAUGUGGUACAGUUCCUCAACAGCAAUUUUUAAAAAUUUAUGGACUGGCAGAAAGCAUAAGCAUAAUGCCUUGCUUGCUAUAAAGUUACAGAGGAGUUCUGUCCUGUGUCUGGUGCUUCCACCUCUCCAGCUGUUCCUGGAAGGCUGAAUAAAUCCCAUGGCCACUUUGAUCCUUAGAUAAGAUGUGAAGUUUUUGGUUUGUAAGGAUAAGUACGUGGUUGCAUACCUGAAGAGGAAGGAGCUACAUCCUUGAAGCAGGUAAGAGAAUCACUUUGUGGGCAACUUCAGGAGUUGCGCAGAGUUGGAAAGAAGUGUCUCUGGACCAGCAAAAAGGAAAAGGCAUAAUGCCAGCAUGCCCACUUUUUCUCUUGCCUGGCCUCUUGAGAAGAACCAUGAUCCUGUAACACGAGCUGGAAUGUUUCUCAUAUCAAGUGGAAACUUUAAUUCCUAGCUCCAAUUCAUGAAACAUCACUGAGGACUUCAAGGCACUGGCUUGCUACCAAACAGAAGUAUACCAAACAGAAGGGCAAAAGCCUGCCGUUGUUGAUAUGCUAACCCUCUUUGUCAUGUGUUGAGUUUCUGUUCUGAGAAACAGAGAUACUACAAUACCUAUAUAAAGUGGCUGCAAGAAUAUUUUCCCAUACAGACACAACCCACUUUUCCCUAACGUUGUUCUUGGAAAUGGCAGAAUUACUUCUGCGAGCACUAAAAAAAAAACCAAAAAAUUGCAACAACAAAAGCAGUCUUGCUUCCAGCACCACCUGUUAGACUGAAACCUGAGGCUCAGCCUGACAGAUGACGCUCUUCAGAGAAAGCAGCACAGCAGCUGCACUGCUUUCACUCACUGAACUCAGCAUUUUGAGGCAGCAGUACUAAUUAGGACCUCUUACUAAAAAUGUGACCUCGAUGUUUUGCGUGCUAAUAACUAGUGGUGUCUCCUCAUUAUGGUAAGUGCAAAACCUCUCAACAAACCACCAAUUUCUUCCACUGCUAUUUGAGACAAGCUCAUCUAGAAGCAUGGUAUCACUGUUGCUCAUGCUUAGUGUUUUGUUGAUCAUAUCCUUUCUGUCCCAUGACAAGAAGUACUCUAGUACAGACUAGGAGAUGUUAUCUAGGAGAUGAAGGCCAGUAGGUUAUGGUAAGGCUGCAUUUCUGCAACAGAAAAAUCUUCUAACAUGCUGAUAGUGAUAGUUUAAACUGCAUAAACAGCAGGAAGAGUCCUUGGUCAGAGGAGUCAGGCUGUAGACUGAGCUGGUGAUGCCUGGGUUGAACUCCAGGCACAGCUAUCAGCUUGUUAUCAGUUUAUUCAUGUCUUUGUGUGCCUGUUCCCAGUACAUGAAAUCCGUGCUACUGAACAGGACUACUGCAAGGAAAUGUCACUACUGUGCUAUUUGCAGUGUCUUGCUGUUUUAAGGCAGGGCGAGAAAAGAGGUCUGAACUACAACUUUAUCAGAUUUGUAGUAAAUGUCCUAAGUUCUGAAUCUGAAGCAACGCAGCAUCUGUGGUUGAGAAGGAAACAGCAUGCCACACUUUUUUCUGGGAACUAUAACAUUGCCCUUACAAUACUUGCUUUGAAAUGGUACUUUGCUCUGAAUUUGUUACACAACUCUCUGAGGAAGAGUCUGCUCGCGCUGGGUGGGUGCGUGGACUCCCCAGGCUCUUGCUUCCCUGCUUGGGAAGUGCCACGGUGGGGCAGCGGGAUGCAGUCCAUGGAACAACUGACCCAGCUUUCCAAGGACCUGCUCCAAAGAAAUAAAAAUGUGCUUUUCCAUUGACUUUCACAGAAUUUGGAUUGAUCCCCAGAUGUCUGUCAGUUCUCCUUAAUUGUGGAAAUCCUGCUAAGGAAACCAAAUGGCAAUUUAGAGGAGACAAAAAUUUUUUUCUGGAGGGGGGGAAAAAAGUUUCACUGCAAAUCACUGCAGGUUCUCCUUGAUAAGAAGUCUUGUACAAGUCCGUGGAGUGGCUAAGGCUGAGGCAACCUGAUCUUAAUCUAGAGAUUAAAACUAAGCUAACAGAAAGCACCUACUUUCUCAUCCUUCCAUCAGUGAAUGUUUUGAAACCUCAGUUUUUCAGUUCUCUCAGAGCUGUCUCUGACUCUGGAGGACCUCCUUUAAACAGGGACCUAGUAGAUUACCAGCUCAAAGGAGGAGAAAAUAGUGCAGAAGAAGCAGAACCAACAAACAGCAGUUCGGAUUCUUUGAAACCAAGUGUUACCUGCAUAUCAACCUCCUCCUGUCUGAGGGACACACCACUUGUUCAGGGUGCUGUACAAGGUUUAGUCUAACGUCUUGUGGCAUCUUGAAUUAAUUUAAACCUUUAAUUUCCCAUAAUUAGUUUUUUCAGCUUUGCAAAUGAGUCAGUAAAAUUUCCAUCUAGUUUUGGAGAGCUUGUAACUAAAGUUCUCUUUUCUCUGACAUAGCUUUUUCAUCUUCCAAUAAUGUUAACUUUGAUUUUUUUUUCCUUCUAUAAAUGCCUGAAUUUAAGUUCCCAUCCCCUUCCCACGUGCAGGAUCUACUCUGUGCAAACCCUUAGUUUCUUCUUCACUGUGCUUUCAAAUCUUCCACCCUAGCCAGAGCUAAAAAUAUUCAUGUUGGCAUUAGUCAGCAGAAAACUCUGCAUCUUUGUUCAGGAAUCUGAACGUGAACUUACAAAAGAGACUGUAUCUGUACACUGCUAUUCCACCUACUCCUGUUAAUCCCUGUAUUUGCAAAUAAGCCACUACUGCACAAAUUAUGCUAUUGAUUUUGAUGAGUUCAAAUGCAUGAAAUUUGCUAGUUCUCAUCAACACCCUGGUAGCACAAUCCAAACAUUGACUCAGCUAAUGUUUUCAUCUUAGUGCCAUAAAGUUAUGCAUAUUUAUUUUAUUUAACAUAAGCAAUUUAAAUUUGCUUUUCCUUACUACCAUAAAGGGAUUUCAGAACUGUACUAUGAAAACCAUUUGCUUUGUAAAAUGAAGACGGGGCUCCAUGUGUCUAAAUAGCAUGUAGGAAUAAUGAGAUACAGAGAAUGCAAACUCUACUCAGAAUAGUGGUCCAGAAGAGAGGAUUGUGACCUAUAGAAGGGGAAUUUAGC
Molecule: long non-coding RNA, 4476 nt
Organism: Numida meleagris (helmeted guineafowl)
Lineage: Eukaryota; Metazoa; Chordata; Aves; Galliformes; Numididae
Exons: 3
Source: RefSeq, a predicted model, not a curated record